This 253-nucleotide ribosomal RNA is filed under the name uncultured bacterium. Its description in RNAcentral is "partial 16S ribosomal RNA". It matches the Rfam family "Bacterial small subunit ribosomal RNA", at positions 524 to 776 of the family's 1533-position model. The record is from RNAcentral.
UACAGAGGGGGCAAGCGUUGUUCGGAAUUACUGGGCGUAAAGGGCGCGUAGGCGGCCUGCUAAGUCGAACGUGAAAUCCCCGAGCUCAACUCGGGAACUGCGUCCGAUACUGGCAGGCUUGAAUCCGGGAGAGGGAUGCGGAAUUCCAGGUGUAGCGGUGAAAUGCGUAGAUAUCAGGAGGAACACCGGUGGCGAAGGCGGCUACCUGGACAGAAACUGACGCUGAGGCGCGAAAGCUAGGGGAGCAAACAGG